Molecule: non-coding RNA, 239 nt
Organism: Pelobates cultripes (western spadefoot toad)
Lineage: Eukaryota; Metazoa; Chordata; Amphibia; Anura; Pelobatidae
Source: the annotation of a GenBank genome assembly
ACCAAAUUAAGAUCCCAUGGUGGAAAGGUUUCCCUGAUGGCACGAACUAAACGAGACAAAGCUUUGAAAAACCUAAUGAUUACAAUAUUCAAAGCCAAACAUCUGAUUGAGAAGAAACUGAUAGAAACUUGGACCAUAAGUAGCACGUUUCAAUCAUUUUCGGAAAGCCCAUUUGAAGGAAUCUAAGGAUGUUUGGAUUGGAAGUGGUUACGGGAUUUUCUUUGAUCUUGACACACCAG